GAUGAACGCUAGCGGCAGGCCUAACACAUGCAAGUCGAGGGGUAUAGUUCUUCGGAACUAGAGACCGGCGCACGGGUGCGUAACGCGUAUGCAAUCUACCUUUUACAGGGGAAUAGCCCAGAGAAAUUUGGAUUAAUGCCCCAUAGUGUUAUAGAAUCGCAUGGUUUUAUAACUAAAGUUCCAACGGUAAAAGAUGAGCAUGCGUCCCAUUAGUUAGUUGGUAAGGUAACGGCUUACCAAGACAAUGAUGGGUAGGGGUCCUGAGAGGGAGAUCCCCCACACUGGUACUGAGACACGGACCAGACUCCUACGGGAGGCAGCAGUGAGGAAUAUUGGACAAUGGGCGCAAGCCCGAUCCAGCCAUGCCGCGUGCAGGAAGACGGUCCUAUGGAUUGUAAACUGCUUUUGUACAGGAAGAAACACUCCCUCGUGAGGGAGCUUGACGGUACUGUAAGAAUAAGGAUCGGCUAACUCCGUGCCAGCAGCCGCGGUAAAG
RNAcentral lists this ribosomal RNA (496 nucleotides) under uncultured bacterium. Its description in RNAcentral is "bacterial SSU rRNA". It matches the Rfam family "Bacterial small subunit ribosomal RNA", at positions 28 to 525 of the family's 1533-position model. The record is from RNAcentral.